CCCUCCCUCUACCCCCACUUCCCCACCUCAGCCUGAAGUUAUUAGUUUAGGUUCAUUUAGGAUGAGCUUAGCAACCCCACACCCCUGGAACCUGGAAGCUUAGAGCACAAGCUGUCUGGCAAAUGGAAAUUCAAUUGCUUUAAUAUACAGACUAUUUUGCUGCAGCCGAACUCGAGCCUCUUAUUAAGAAUCUGAUGGAAUUUCUAAACAGGGAGAGAGGCCCCGAGGAGGGGGCAUCGCCCAGCACACACCAACAUUGCUCUUGACAUAUUUAUGGCUCCAAUAAAAUCUCCCAUCUGGUAUAUUUUAAAAUAAAAUUGAAAAUUUA
This 328-nucleotide long non-coding RNA is filed under the name Mus musculus (house mouse). RNAcentral describes it as "predicted gene, 47176". Lineage: Eukaryota; Metazoa; Chordata; Mammalia; Rodentia; Muridae. The record is from RNAcentral.